AAAAUUUAACCAUAACAUUUUUUUACAAAAAAAAAGAGUAAAACACUAAAAUAAAAUUAAAAACAAUAUGCAUAGGCUGGUGAAAGGUGAAAGGCCUGUUUCGGAUGUCGGUAUCAGAUGUAGUCGGUAUCGCUUAUGGACAUCCGAUACAGUUUUUUGCGCGUUUCAAAUUCGAUGCUUCGUCAAACAACCCAGAUCAAACACCCACAUACAGAUCAAACACUUCAAUCACCUUCUAAUCAUUCAAUGUACAUAUCAAUCAACAAUCAUGGAAAACACGAAAAAAAAUUUAAGAAAACGAAAAGCAAAAAUGGAGGAAGGAGACGGGUGGGAUGCACCAACGAAGAUGAAAAGGAAGUCGUGCCUCUGCAAAACAGACCAAAAAAAAGCACAAUCUGAAAUGUAAAAAUGAGGAAGAUGAAGUUGUUGCAGAAAAGAGAAACUGAACCUGUUUGCGUGAUGUUGUGCGAGAAGAAAGAGCUUGAGAUCUUUUGUGAGUUCGUGAGUGUUGUGCGAGUGAAAGGACAGCAAAUGGUGGUGCUGUGCGAGAGAAAGGAGACCAAGCUGCUGUGCGAGAGAGAAGAGAGAAAGGAAAGCAAAUGUGAGUGGUGCUGUGAGCAAAUGACAUCUGACACACACAAACCUGAAAAAAGAAUCUGAAACUCAAAAAGAAUUCAUGACUAUUCUUAACUAUUUCAACAAAAGUUAAUCCACAUUCUAAUUAGGGGCUAAACAGGUAUUUUAGUAAAGUUUGGAGGUGUUGAAGACGCAUGAAACACUCUUCCAUUAAUUAAGCCCAUUAAGUAAGAUGAAACACUCCCCAUUAAGUAAGAUGAAACAGGUAUUGUUUAUUUAUUUUUUUUAAAGAAAAAAGGAAGAUUGUUAAGGUGUAGGGUAUUUUUGGAAUAAAGAAAAUAGUGGGGAGGUAUAGAAUAUUUUUGAAAUAAAUUAAAUUAAUGGGGAGGUACAGGUCUUACUUG
This 980-nucleotide long non-coding RNA is filed under the name Vigna radiata. Its description in RNAcentral is "long non-coding RNA (VRAD_LNC009411)". The record is from RNAcentral. Lineage: Eukaryota; Viridiplantae; Streptophyta; Magnoliopsida; Fabales; Fabaceae.